Molecule: ribosomal RNA, 373 nt
Filed under: uncultured bacterium
Lineage: Bacteria
Description: bacterial SSU rRNA
Rfam family: Bacterial small subunit ribosomal RNA
Source: RNAcentral
ACGUAGGUGACAAGCGUUGUCCGGAUUUACUGGGUGUAAAGGGCGCGUAGGCGGGAUAGCAAGUCAGAAGUGAAAUGCCGGGGCUCAACCCCGGAGCUGCUUUUGAAACUGUUAUUCUUGAGUAUCGGAGAGGAAAGCGGAAUUCCCAGUGUAGCGGUGAAAUGCGUAGAUAUUGGGAGGAACACCAGUGGCGAAGGCGGCUUUCUGGACGACAACUGACGCUGAGGCGCGAAAGUGUGGGGAGCAAACAGGAUUAGAUACCCUGGUAGUCCACACCGUAAACGAUGGAUACUAGGUGUAGGAGGUAUCGACUCCUUCUGUGCCGGAGUAAACACAAUAAGUAUCCCACCUGGGGAGUACGACCGCAAGGUUG